Molecule: long non-coding RNA, 248 nt
Filed under: Setaria italica (foxtail millet)
Lineage: Eukaryota; Viridiplantae; Streptophyta; Magnoliopsida; Poales; Poaceae
Description: long non-coding RNA (SITA_LNC004552)
Source: RNAcentral
UGGCACACAAAUAGUCUUCAAGCAAGGUUGCUUGAUGUGUUCAUGGGCUUGUGGGUUGUGGCGACAUGCGAUGUGAGCCACAUGAAGAGCAGCGCUUGCCUCUUGGGGCGUUGGGGUAAGAUUGUUGUAUUUUAUUAUUAUGCUUGGUUAGAACAUGUAAUGCAACUAAUGCGCACUCACCGGUGUUUUAUACCGGCCGUCUACCAAGGGGUACCCGAGGUAGCAGAAUGUGUAGCGGGGGAUCAUCG